CGGUUAUAAGAUCCCUCAAAGAUGAUGAGGUUAAUAGGUUCGAGGUGGAAGCGUAGCGAUACGUGGAGCUGACGAAUACUAAUCGAUCGAAGACUUAAUCAAUUU
RNAcentral lists this ribosomal RNA (105 nucleotides) under Staphylococcus chromogenes. RNAcentral's name for it is "partial 23S ribosomal RNA". It matches the Rfam family "Bacterial large subunit ribosomal RNA", at positions 2823 to 2925 of the family's 2925-position model. The record is from RNAcentral. Lineage: Bacteria; Bacillati; Bacillota; Bacilli; Caryophanales; Staphylococcaceae.